Molecule: unclassified non-coding RNA, 519 nt
Filed under: Acromyrmex echinatior (Panamanian leafcutter ant)
Lineage: Eukaryota; Metazoa; Arthropoda; Insecta; Hymenoptera; Formicidae
Description: uncharacterized LOC105149258, transcript variant X2
Source: RNAcentral
AUUUCAAGUCGAUAAAAAGAAAAAAGACAAGAAUACGAUCAGAACAUAGAACUUGAUGAUACAAUAUCAACAGAAAUAGUCUUGAUAUACAAUAUUAAAUUAAUUAACAAAUACAAAAAUUACUACAUAAAUGUCUUACAAUGAGUAAAUAUAAUUCUAAACUUAUCUGAAAGGACAGAACUAUCGCUAUUGCAAAGCCUCACAAUCUCUAUGACCAAGGUUCGCCUGGUUCGCUAGAAAAAGGGACGAGAGAGCAACAGCGAUAUUCAAACUCUUCUCUAAAACAAAAAGCAAUUCAACGCCAUCUCUAAUAAUCAGUUUGACACGCCAGAUGGAGUCAUUCGUAUAGCGCAUGUGGGAAUAAGUGACUCGAUUGAUGAGUUAAAUUCUCAAGACAAGACCACACUUGUCGUGUGAUGUGAUAUAUAAGGUGUAAUGAUCGACACUUUUUUUGUGACUAAUAAUGAUGAAUUUUAUUACUCGAGCUCGAAUGAAUAUGACCGUACAGGAUGAACGCCA